Molecule: ribosomal RNA, 253 nt
Filed under: uncultured bacterium
Lineage: Bacteria
Description: partial 16S ribosomal RNA
Rfam family: Bacterial small subunit ribosomal RNA
Source: RNAcentral
UACAGAGGUCCCAAGCGUUGUUCGGAUUCAUUGGGCGUAAAGGGUGUGUAGGUGGCGCCGUAAGUCGGGUGUGAAAUCUCGGGGCUUAACUCCGAAACUGCAUUCGAUACUGCGGUGCCUGAGGACUGGAGAGGAGACUGGAAUUCAUGGUGUAGCAGUGAAAUGCGUAGAGAUCAUGAGGAAGACCAGUGGCGAAGGCGGGUCUCUGGACAGUUCCUGACACUGAGACACGAAGGCCAGGGGAGCAAACGGG